GAUGAACGCUGACAGAAUGCUUAACACAUGCAAGUCAACUUGAAUUUGGGUUUUUAACUUAGGUUUGGGAGGCGGACGGGUGAGUAACGCGUAAAGAACUUGCCUCACAGCUAGGGACAACAUUUGGAAACGAAUGCUAAUACCUAAUAUUAUGAUAAUAGGGCAUCCUAUAAUUAUGAAAGCUAUAAGCGCUGUGAGAGAGCUUUGCGUCCCAUUAGCUAGUUGGAGAGGUAACGGCUCACCAAGGCGAUGAUGGGUAGCCGGCCUGAGAGGGUGAUCGGCCACAAGGGGACUGAGACACGGCCCUUACUCCUACGGGAGGCAGCAGUGGGGAAUAUUGGACAAUGGACCGAGAGUCUGAUCCAGCAAUUCUGUGUGCACGAUGAAGUUUUUCGGAAUGUAAAGUGCUUUCAGUUGGGAAGAAACAAAUGACGGUACCAACAGAAGAAGUGACGGCUAAAUACGUG
This 467-nucleotide ribosomal RNA is filed under the name uncultured bacterium. Its description in RNAcentral is "partial 16S ribosomal RNA". It matches the Rfam family "Bacterial small subunit ribosomal RNA", at positions 28 to 507 of the family's 1533-position model. The record is from RNAcentral.